RNAcentral lists this ribosomal RNA (403 nucleotides) under uncultured bacterium. RNAcentral describes it as "bacterial SSU rRNA". It matches the Rfam family "Bacterial small subunit ribosomal RNA", at positions 355 to 774 of the family's 1533-position model. The record is from RNAcentral.
UAGGGAAUAUUGCAAAAUGGGCGAAAGCCCGAUGCAGCAACGCCGCGUGGGCGAUGAAGGCCUUCGGGUCGUAAAGCCCUUUUUGAGGGGAUGAGGAAGGACAGUACCCUCAGAAUAAGCCUCGGCUAACUACGUGCCAGCAGCCGCGGUAAAACGUAGGAGGCGAGCGUUAUCCGGAUUUACUGGGCGUAAAGCGCGUGCAGGCGGAUUGGAGAGUUGGAUGUGAAAGCUCCCGGCUUAACUGGGAGAGGUCGUUCAAUACUUCCAGUCUUGAGUGCAGUAGAGGGAAGUGGAAUUCCGGGUGUAGUGGUGAAAUGCGUAGAUAUCCGGAGGAACACCAGUGACGAAAGCGGCUUCCUGGACUGUAACUGACGCUCAGACGCGAAAGCUAGGGUAGCAAACG